This 207-nucleotide ribosomal RNA is filed under the name uncultured bacterium. Its description in RNAcentral is "partial 16S ribosomal RNA". It matches the Rfam family "Bacterial small subunit ribosomal RNA", at positions 568 to 774 of the family's 1533-position model. The record is from RNAcentral.
CGCGUAGGCGGUUAUAUAAGUCGGGUGUGAAAGCCCCGGGCUCAACCUGGGAACUGCAUUCGAUACUAUAUAACUAGAGUUUGGUAGAGGGAAGUGGAAUUCCACAUGUAGCGGUGAAAUGCGUAGAUAUGUGGAGGAACACCAGUGGCGAAGGCGACUUCCUGGACCAAAACUGACGCUGAGGUGCGAAAGCGUGGGUAGCAAACA